This is a long non-coding RNA of Nematostella vectensis (starlet sea anemone), 338 nucleotides long. RefSeq lists it as uncharacterized. The record is from RefSeq and is a predicted model, not a curated record. Lineage: Eukaryota; Metazoa; Cnidaria; Anthozoa; Actiniaria; Edwardsiidae. The transcript has 2 exons.
AGAGAGGAUAAAGUCUUUUAAUACAAGUGCCAGUGGGUUGUCCCAGAUGUUUUUUUUUCUAAAGAAAUAUCGAUAAAAGUCUCUAAUAAUGUUGAGAUACUGGGCGGAAGGAAAGCCGCUGGCGAAACGAGGGAAGCCAUCUGCGGAAAUCUCAAGUGUCUUCAAAUACCAUAACACCAAACAAACACUGCCCGAAUUUUGCGGCAAUUUCUUGUGGCGAGUGGUUUUAGGAGCUUGUCGGAACAACUUCCCAUCGCAAUUACAGGAAAAUAAACAAAAUAAGAUUGUACAGUAACUCCGAAGACACAGAGAAAUAAAUAAAAGUCUUCAGUGGUUUA